GUCUGCUGUGUACGUGGGGUUGUGCUGACAAAAGUAGGCUGAGCUGCUCUGGAGAGAUGGAAUGGGGCCAAAGUGUGAUGUCCCCAUGAGCUGGGUGGGCUGGGGUGGCUUGACGCUGCUUUGUACUGUGGCAGAGCCUGCCUGGCCUCACCUGUGCCCUGCUGACAGCAGCUGGAGCAGCUCUGACUUUCCACUUGCUGUAAACAGGAACAUUAACCACGAGUAUCUUUGGUUGUGCAAGCUGGCAAAUACUGAAGGCAGGUAUAUAAUUUUACAAAGGUUCACUUGGAAGGAAGCAGUGCCUCAGUCCCAGGUUUGCUGUCUUAGCCAGGCCCUGAUGCUUCCUUGCAGAUACUAACCACUUUACCAUGCCCUAACCUUUGAUAGGGUAGAAAACCACAUGAUGCAGCUUUUACCAUUGGAGUAUGAAGAACAUCAUUUCUGGGACCUUCAGAAGGUUUGUACUAGCGGUACACACUUGGAACAAUGAGACUCUGAUUUAUGUUCUGCAUAUGUACCUGCUAUUCCUAUUUGUGUACAGAAAAGCUCCAAUUGCAUAGGCAAUGUACAGAUGGUGAUUUGUGAGAAAAAUUGAGAUCAGAGAUUUUCCAGGGGAGAAUUUGAUUGGGAAAUGAAUUAUUAACUUAGUGUAUUAGGAAAUUUCUGUUGUGUAGGAUUAAAAGGAAGAUUUGGUUCUGUGUAAAUGAAAGAAUAUAUGGUACUUUUUCCUUUUGAAGAUGCUACCUGAACUGGUGAAUCAACUCACAGUUGCAUUGUCUAUUCAUCAUUUUUUGAAUGAAAAGGUACUAUGCAGUCUAAAAAUAUUCUAGUGAUUAAUUUCCUAUAGAUUAAUUACUGUUUCAGUAUGCAGUUGUUGCCUAUUAUGUUGCUGCAGUUUAAGAAUACUUUAAAUGACACUAAAUAUUUAAAGUUACAGCUCUUAGUGAGUUGUUUUCUUUUGGUUUGAAGUGCUUGUAAAACGACUUUUAUGUGGUUUUAUUUGACAUAUAGUAUAGAAAAUUCUCUUUUACUGUAUAGGAAAAAUUAUAUCAAACCAGCAAAAAUAAUUUCAAGAACACAAGCACUUUCAGGAGUUGAUUUUGAUGAACACUGAGUUUUUUCUCCCUGUGCUUUUGGCCAUAGUAUAUCUGAAUUGUUGACAGUUAAGUAUAAACUUCAGUACAUGAAGUUUAAGAUUGAUAUUUCUUUUCCUGCAACUCAUCUAUCCACUGAAGAUGCAGUGUACUGCAAAAGGGUAGUCUUCAUCUUCAGUCCUUACUGACUUUUUUUAAAUUAAUGAGUUGAACUGCUUGUGCUCCUUGGACAACAGUGUCUGCACCUAGUGACAGAACUAGCCUGGCAUAACUAAGAAACAGCUUAUUUCUGUUCAGCAACAGAGAAUGCAUGGCAGCUAAAGUUCCCAGUACUUUAAGUCUUGCAAUUCAAAAACAAGUGCAGUGGUAAUCUGGAUCUGAAUGUGUUAACAGGAAAAAUGGAUCUGCCUGCCCUGAGCUGAUGCCUGCCAUCUCACUGCUGUUGGCUACUAAGAGCAUCAUAGUCACACACACACUCUCCUCCAAUCCCAAAAGGAUCUUAAUGGUACAUUUCUAUCAUAUUUUCCCCACUGUACUUAAUCUGUAAUUUCCAUCCACUUAUUAUUGCCUCUUCACAUACAAGACCAUUCUAUGUAUAUCUAUGUGACUUUAAUUUCUGUUACUGAAGAUAUAUUUUAAUCAAAACCUGGUGAUAUUUGUUAACUGCCAAAGACAGCGGGGGCGGGGGGCAUAAAUCUUCUCUCUUUAGAGCAAAAUGUUAAUGUGGUAGCUAGUAAAUAUUCCAAAACAUCCUUUGAUCAGAGGGAAUAACCUGUGAAUUUCAAAAGGUGGCAUUUAAUCUUUCCUAUGUGCCCUACAUCUUUACCUCUCCUGGUCACAGCAAAGUCAUGCCAUCAACUCUGAGAUUAUUAUUUGCUGGCAGAUAAUGAUGUUCAAACCAAGUAUACAAAGUGGCUUUGUAAAUCAGUGAGCAGACUUUAUUGCUUGGAAUUGUUGCUCCUGCACACAAUGGCAUUCCCUGGGGUUCCCUAGAGCAGGGCCUCCUCCAUAUGUUCUUGCAGGCUGCAGGAGCCAUCCUUGCAGUGAAAGGGCUGUGCUCUUGACUGGAGACCCAGAUGGAGGGCUAAGGCAGAAGUUACCAUUGCAGUCAAUGUCAGUUCUGCUGGAAAGAACUUGGAUCAAUGACUUUUCCUAUUUUGAGAUUACUCCAGCCAAUCAUUUGUUGUGAACACAAACACUCAGAAUCUUGAGAGUAUAAAAAUGAAACAUUUUAGCAUUAGCAUAACAGUCAUGGAGUGGAACAGAGAGUAGGCAGUUUGCUCAUACUUGAAGGACCUCAACCCAAAGGCUGUGGUAUUGCAGUGCUAUUUUGAUAGCUUCUUUGACAUAAGGAAGUGUGGGUCAGUCUUUAAUUUGCCUCUGGAUGGAGAAGUACUCCUGCUGGGUAUAGUUAAGAUGGGAGCUGGCACAUCUGAAUCAGGACAACUUCUGACCAACUUAGUAUACAAUCCACCUCCCCCCCCCUUUUUUUUUUUUUCCUGACUCGGAAGCUUUCUUUACUAGUCUGCUUCUAAGAUAGAUGUAAGUCUGUGUGAAUUAAACAAAACAAGCAAACCUCCUUGGGGAAGACUCGUCAUGCACUUGCCUGCUCCAGUCCCUCCUAAUGGUUGAAGUCCUUCAGGAGCUUCUUGGAGCAUGGGUCCUUCCUGCAGGCUGCUUCUUCACAAACUGCUCUUCACAAACUGCUGCAAGUCCUGCCAGCAAGCCUGCUCCAGUGGUGGGCUUCUCUCUCAACAUACUUUUAGUGGAUCGAGUAUGUCAUUAUGUCAAAGUCCUCAAACAUGUAGGUUUCCAGUAGAAUAUUAAUCUUAUUAAUUAAUAAUAAUUAAUUAUUAUUAAUCUUAAUAAAGGAAAGCUUAAGUCCGAAGAUGAGAGUCUA
Long non-coding RNA from Cyanistes caeruleus (blue tit), 2994 nucleotides. NCBI's taxonomy places the organism in Eukaryota, Metazoa, Chordata, Aves, Passeriformes, Paridae. The record is from Ensembl.